Molecule: ribosomal RNA, 354 nt
Filed under: Klebsiella pneumoniae
Lineage: Bacteria; Pseudomonadati; Pseudomonadota; Gammaproteobacteria; Enterobacterales; Enterobacteriaceae
Description: partial 23S ribosomal RNA
Rfam family: Bacterial large subunit ribosomal RNA
Source: RNAcentral
CCUGUGAGGGUUGCUGGAGGUAUCAGAAGUGCGAAUGCUGACAUAAGUAACGAUAAAGCGGGUGAAAAGCCCGCUCGCCGGAAGACCAAGGGUUCCUGUCCAACGUUAAUCGGGGCAGGGUGAGUCGACCCCUAAGGCGAGGCCGAAAGGCGUAGUCGAUGGGAAACAGGUUAAUAUUCCUGUACUUGGUGUUACUGCGAAGGGGGGACGGAGAAGGCUAUGUUAGCCGGGCGACGGUUGUCCCGGUUUAAGCAUGUAGGCUGGUUGUCCAGGCAAAUCCGGAUAAUCAAGGCUGAGGUGUGAUGACGAGGCACUACGGUGCUGAAGUAACAAAUGCCCUGCUUCCAGGAAAAG